CGACCUCAGGUCAGGCAAGACAACCCGCUGAGUUUAAGCAUAUCACUAAGCGGAGGAAAAGAAACUAACAAGGAUUUCCCUAGUAGCGGCGAGCGAAACGGAAAGAGCCCAGCUUGGAAAUCGGGGUGUCUCUGCACCCCGAAUUGUAGUCUGGAGAAGGGUCCUUUGCAGCGGACCGGGUUUAAGUCCCUUGGAACGGGACGCCAGAGAGGGUGAGAGCCCCGUCUAGCCCGGACCCUGCUGCAUCACGAGGCUCUUUCGGCGAGUCGGGCUGUUUGGGAAUGCAGCCUUAAGUGGGUGGUAAAUUCCAUCCAAGGCUAAAUACUGGUGAGAGACCGAUAGCGCACAAGUACCGCGAGGGAAAGAUGAAAAGGACUUUGAAAAGAGAGUUAAAAAGUGCUUGAAAUUGCUGGGAGGGAAGCGAAUGGAUGCCUUGUGCGCCCCUUGGUUGUGUGUGGAACGGCGAGAGCUGGUCUGCCAAGCAAUGCAAGGGGCUGUCCAGCAUGGGAGGACGCGGCGGGAUAACGGCUUGUGAGCCUCUGGCUCCCUGCCAAUGCCGCCGCUGCCUCUGAAAAUGGCGGGGUGCUCCGGUGCCCCGCCAGAUGCUGGAACUUGGGCGUUCCAUCCGACCCGUCUUGAAACACGGACCAAGGAGUCUAACAUGUAUGCGAGUCUGUGGGUGCUAAACCCGUACAGGCGAAAGGAAACUAAUUCGUGGGAUCCCCUUCGGGGGUGCACCACGGACCGACCUUGAUCUUUUGAGAAGGGUUUGAGUGUUAGCAUACCUGCUGGGACCCGAAAGAUGGUGAACUAUGCCUGAGCAGGGCGAAGCCAGAGGAAACUCUGGUGGAGGCUCGUAGCGAUACUGACGUGCAAAUCGUUCGUCAGACUUGGGUAUAGGGGCGAAAGACUAAUCGAACCAUCUAGUAGCUGGUACCCUCCGAAGUUUCCCUCAGGAUAGCUGGAGCUCUUGCUGAGUUUUAUCGGGUAAAGCGAAUGAUUAGAGGCAUCGGGGGUGAAACACCCUCGACCUAUUCUCAAACUUUAAAUAGGUAAAGCAGCCGGGGUUGCUCUGUUGAGCCCCGGCCGUGAAUGCGAGCUCCAAGUGGGCCAUUUUUGGUAAGCAGAACUGGCGAUGCGGGAUGAACCGAAAGCCGGGCUACGGUGCCAAAGUGCGCGCUAACCCAGAUCCCACAAAGGGUGUUGAUUGAUUAAGACAGCAGGACGGUGGUCAUGGAAGUCGAAAUCCGCUAAGGAGUGUGUAACAACUCACCUGCCGAAUCAACUAGCCCCGAAAAUGGAUGGCGCUUAAGCGCGCGGCCUAUGCCCGGCCAUCGCGGCGAUUGCGAGGCCCCGAUGAGUAGGAGGGCGUGGGGGUCGUGGUGCAGCUCUGGGCGCGAGCCCGAGUGAAACGGCCCCCAGUGCAGAUCUUGGUGGNNNNNNNNNNNNNNNNNNNNNNNN
This 1461-nucleotide non-coding RNA is filed under the name Selaginella moellendorffii. Its description in RNAcentral is "Eukaryotic large subunit ribosomal RNA". It matches the Rfam family "Eukaryotic large subunit ribosomal RNA". The record is from Rfam by way of RNAcentral. Lineage: Eukaryota; Viridiplantae; Streptophyta; Lycopodiopsida; Selaginellales; Selaginellaceae.